Molecule: ribosomal RNA, 505 nt
Filed under: uncultured Actinomycetes bacterium
Lineage: Bacteria; Bacillati; Actinomycetota; Actinomycetes
Description: bacterial SSU rRNA
Rfam family: Bacterial small subunit ribosomal RNA
Source: RNAcentral
GCCUGAUCCAGCAACGCCGCGUGAGGGAUGACGGCCUUCGGGUUGUAAACCUCUUUCAGUAGGGACGAAGCUAACGUGACGGUACCUACAGAAGAAGCACCGGCCAACUACGUGCCAGCAGCCGCGGUAAUGCGUAGGGUGCGAGCGUUGUCCGGAAUUAUUGGGCGUAAAGGGCUCGUAGGCGGUUUGUCACGUCGGGAGUGAAAACUCGGGGCUUAACUCCGAGCCUGCUUCCGAUACGGGCUGACUAGAGGUAUGCAGGGGAGAACGGAAUUCCUGGUGUAGCGGUGAAAUGCGCAGAUAUCAGGAGGAACACCGGUGGCGAAGGCGGUUCUCUGGGCAUUACCUGACGCUGAGGAGCGAAAGUGUGGGGAGCGAACAGGAUUAGAUACCCUGGUAGUCCACACCGUAAACGUUGGGCGCUAGGUGUGGGACUCAUUCCACGAGUUCCGUGCCGCAGCUAACGCAUUAAGCGCCCCGCCUGGGGAGUACGGCCGCAAGGCUA